GUUCUGACCAUAAACGAUGCCGACUAGCGAUCCGCCGGAGUUGUACCUAUGACCCGGCGGGCAGCUUCCGGGAAACCAAAGUCUUUGGGUUCCGGGGGAAGUAUGGUUGCAAAGCUGAAACUUAAAGGAAUUGACGGAAGGGCACCACCAGGAGUGGAGCCUGCGGCUUAAUUUGACUCAACACGGGGAAACUCACCCGGCCCGGACACCGUGAGGAUUGACAGAUUGAGAGCUCUUUCUUGAUUCGGUGGGUGGUGGUGCAUGGCCGUUCUUAGUUGGUGGAGCGAUUUGUCUGGUUAAUUCCGAUAACGAACGAGACUCUAGCCUAUUAAAUAGUUUGCCGCCCGUGAAUGGUAGCGGCACCCUAACUUCUUAGAGGGACAAGCGGCGCUUAGCCGCACGAGAUUGAGCAAUAACAGGUCUGUGAUGCCCUUAGAUGUUCGGGGCCGCACGCGCGCUACACUGAAGGUGACAGAGGGUCGAGUCCUUGCCAGAGAUGGUCGGGCAACCCGUGCAGAACCGCUUUCGUGCUAGGGACUGGGGCUUGCAAUUCUUGCCCAUGAACGAGGAAUUCCCAGUAAGCGCGAGUCAUCAGCUCGUGUUGAUUACGUCCCUGCCCUUUGUACACACCGCCCGUCGCUACUACCGAUUGAACGGUUUAGUGAGGCCCUCGGACCUGCCCCGGGCUGGCGGGCAUCUGCCGGCCCUGGUUGUCGCGGAGAAGACGGUCGAACUUGAUCAUUUAGAGGAAGUAAAAGUCGUAACAAGGUUUCCGUA
This 777-nucleotide ribosomal RNA is filed under the name Syllis hyalina. RNAcentral describes it as "SSU rRNA". It matches the Rfam family "Eukaryotic small subunit ribosomal RNA", at positions 1023 to 1807 of the family's 1831-position model. Lineage: Eukaryota; Metazoa; Annelida; Polychaeta; Phyllodocida; Syllidae. The record is from RNAcentral.